UCAGGGGACCUGCCCUGAUAAUCAGGGACGUUCCAUGCUGAGAAAAGGAAUUCAGCGAUAUUUCUCCCAUUUGCUUUUGAAAGAAGAGAAAUAUGGUUCUGUUCUGCCCGGCUCACCAGCAGUCAGAGUUUAAGGUUCUCUCUCUUAUUCCCUGAACAAUUGCUGUUAUCCUGUUCUUUUUUUUAUCCUGUUCUUUUUUCAGGGUGCCCACAUUUCAUAUUGCUCAAACACACAUGCUGUACAAUUUGUGUACUUAACGCAAUUAUUACAGGUCCUGAGACGAUAUACAUCCUUCUCGGCUGACAGGAUUAAGAGAUUAAAGUAAUGAAAGGCAUAGGAUAUCACAAGGGUAUUGAUUGGGGAAGUGAUAAGUGUCCAUGAAAUCUUUACAAUUUAUGUUUAGAGAUUGCAGUAAAGGCAGGCAUAAGAAAUUACAAAAGUAUUAAUUUGGGGAACUAAUAAAUGUCCAUAAAAUCUUCAUAAUUCACGUUCUUCUGUUAUGGCUUCAGCCGGUCCCUCCGUUUGGGGUCCCUGACUUCCCGCAACACAGCACAGUGCCUGGCACAAAAGAGUUGCUCAAUAAAUAAAUCAGGAUGAAUAGAUAAAUACACGGAUAGGCACUUUGAACUACAGAUGAGAUUAAAUACUUUGUGUUUUUCUUAGUCAAUGUUUUUCUUAGUCAAACGUGUAAUUAAGCAUGUGAUA
Homo sapiens (human) is the source of this 705-nucleotide long non-coding RNA. The record is from Ensembl. NCBI's taxonomy places the organism in Eukaryota, Metazoa, Chordata, Mammalia, Primates, Hominidae.